RNAcentral lists this long non-coding RNA (1826 nucleotides) under Triticum aestivum (bread wheat). Its description in RNAcentral is "long non-coding RNA (TAES_LNC022312)". Lineage: Eukaryota; Viridiplantae; Streptophyta; Magnoliopsida; Poales; Poaceae. The record is from RNAcentral.
GAAUAUUUCUUGUGGCUUAUGAUGGCAGGGUGAUGGGCAGCCUUUCUUGAGGAUUAUUGUGACCGAAGUGACUGAUUGUUGGCAGAACUUCGAAGAAAUGUGUCAGGUAUUGUCAUACUAUCAGUAGUAACUAUGUUGUGAUAUGCAGUAGGUAUAAACUGAUACCCUUUCAUUCUGCUCUACUAAUUUACUAUAUUUUUACUACUUAUGAUGAUUUGGCACAAAUAGGUGGAGUAAGAACGAAUAUUUCUUGUGGCUUAUGAUGGCAGGGUGAUGGGCAGCCUUUCUUGAGGAUUAUUGUGACCGAAGUGACUGAUUGUUGGCAGAACUUCGAAGAAAUGUGUCAGGUAUUGUCAUACUAUCAGUAGUAACUAUGUCGUGAUAUGCAGUAGGUAUAAACUGAUACCCUUCAUUCUGCUCUACUAAUUUACUGUAUUUUUACUCCUUAUGAUUUUUCCGAAGAUACGAUAUUAUUACUACUUAUUAGGUAAAAAUGUGCUAUGCAUUUUUUACAGAUUAUGAGAUGCAAAUUUUGCCCGAUUGAUGGUGUGUUUAAUGAUUGGAAAAAUGCCGCAUGGUUACAUGGUGGUUAUUAGUUAUGGCCAGUACAUGCAUGAUAUUGGUGCAAUUCUUUUUUGAUCUUCCAUUCCCCUUUUCACUACCUCAUUGCUCCAAUCAGCUGUAGGGUGAGCAUCUUGAGCAUGAUUUUCCUUGCUUGUACUCUGCGUGCAGAUUUACAAUCCCGAGCUUUAUAAUAAAAGAAGAAAUCAGUGAGCCUAGAUUUAUCAAAUAUUGGGAAAAGUAUAAGUUCCUCUUCUACUUUUUGUACUGUUUUGGAACACAAUUUGACAUUUACUUAUUUCUGAUAUUUUAUUGUUGUGAUGUUGCCAAAUUAGGUCUGAUUUUCUAUUGUGAUUCUCAAGUCUUAUAUUGUCCAUGUCCAUGUCAUACAAUCAGUUCCGGAACUAUGUGAGUCCUCAAGGCCAAACUGCUUGAAUUCUAUAUGAGGAAGCUCAAAAGUAAUAAGGCAUCCCGCAAGUUAGCAAAAUUGCAGGUACGACUUACGUUGGACAUGGCCUUACUUUUCAUUUUUAUUUUAUAUAUAGCUCAUUAUUACCUCCAUGCAAUAUUCCCUAAACUUUUAUAUUGUAGUUGGAUUUUGGUUCAUCGUGCCUCAGACUGGCAUGUUAUUUUAUGUUUAGUAGGAGGGUUUGACAUGGUAAUUAAGAAAUGUUUUAAUGGUAUUGCCUUGUGCCCUUGUUACAGUUCUAAAAAAGAAAGUGAUGAAUUAAUUUACAUUUUCUGAAAUUUCUCGAGGUUGUUUUUUUAUUGAAUAAUAGUUCUACCUUUUUAGGUGAAACUGCUGGUUCCAACUUCCAACUUGAUAUGCCUUCCUUUCGGUUUGGUUUACUAUACUCAGCGCAUAAGCAUCAGAGUUUAACUCAAAGUAGGGGCCUGCUAGAGACGGAGCUUGUCGUAGAGUAGAGGGAAGGUAUACUUGAUCACCUUUACUAUCUCACCUGUGAUAGAAGUAAUUGGGUUUGUUAUUCUUUCUACAAGGGUAUACAUGUGAAUCGCCGUGAUCAGAAAUAAAAUGAGUAAUAGGAACCAAGUAGAAUGUACAUUCUGUAGCUAGGUGAGGAACUAACACAAGGGAUAGUUUACAUUCAGUAGCUAGGUCAGAAAUUAGCACAAGGCAUAACAAAUCUAUCAGGUGUACAAGUUCUGAAAUGUAUAGAUGAGGACAGUGAUUAGUCACUAGCUCGUUGUUGCUCUGUUGUGCAUAUGAACCACUAGAUAGAGGGAAACAAAGAGCUGCCAGCCCA